This 69-nucleotide ribosomal RNA is filed under the name Janthinobacterium sp. YR213. Its description in RNAcentral is "partial 16S rRNA. Bacterial SSU". It matches the Rfam family "Bacterial small subunit ribosomal RNA", at positions 1 to 67 of the family's 1533-position model. The record is from RNAcentral. Lineage: Bacteria; Pseudomonadati; Pseudomonadota; Betaproteobacteria; Burkholderiales; Oxalobacteraceae.
UUAAACUGAAGAGUUUGAUCCUGGCUCAGAUUGAACGCUGGCGGCAUGCCUUACACAUGCAAGUCGAAC